This 367-nucleotide ribosomal RNA is filed under the name uncultured bacterium. RNAcentral's name for it is "bacterial SSU rRNA". It matches the Rfam family "Bacterial small subunit ribosomal RNA", at positions 28 to 395 of the family's 1533-position model. The record is from RNAcentral.
GACGAACGCUGGCGGCGUGCUUAACACAUGCAAGUCGAGCGGUAAGGCCCUUUCGGGGGUACACGAGCGGCGAACGGGUGAGUAACACGUGGGUGACCUGCCCUUAGCUCUGGGAUAAGCCUGGGAAACUGGGUCUAAUACCGGAUAUGACUCCAUGACGCAUGUUGUGGGGUGGAAAGCCUUGUGCGGCUAGGGAUGGGCCUGCGGCCUAUCAGCUUGUUGGUGGGGUGAUGGCCUACCAAGGCGACGACGGGUAGCCGGCCUGAGAGGGCGACCGGCCACACUGGGACUGAGACACGGGCCCAGACUCCUACGGGAGGCAGCAGUGGGGAAUCUUGCGCAAUGGGCGAAAGCCCGACGCAGCGAC